Molecule: ribosomal RNA, 429 nt
Filed under: Chloroflexota bacterium
Lineage: Bacteria; Bacillati; Chloroflexota
Description: Chloroflexi bacterium partial 16S ribosomal RNA
Rfam family: Bacterial small subunit ribosomal RNA
Source: RNAcentral
UGGGGAUUAUUGCACAAUGGGCGCAAGCCUGAUGCAGCCAUGCCGCGUGUAUGAAGAAGGCCUUCGGGUUGUAAAGUACUUUUAGUCGGGAGGAAGGUGGUAAGGUUAAUAACCUUAUCAAUUGACGUUACCGACAGAAGAAGCACCGGCUAACUCCGUGCCAGCAGCCGCGGUAAUACGGAGGGUGCAAGUGUUAAUCGGAAUUACUGGGCGUAAAGCGCACGCAGGCGGUUGAUUGAGUCAGAUGUGAAAUCCCCGGGCUUAACCCGGGAAUUGCAUCUGAUACUGGUCAGCUAGAGUCUUGUAGAGGGGGGUAGAAUUCCAUGUGUGGCGGUGAAAUGCGUAGAGAUGUGGAGGAAUACCGGUGGCGAAGGCGGCCCCCUGGACAAAGACUGACGCUCAGGUGCGAAAGAGUGGGGAGCAAACAGG